GAUGAACGCUAGCGGCAGGCUUAACACAUGCAAGUCGAGGGGUAUAGUUCUUCGGAACUAGAGACCGGCGCACGGGUGCGUAACGCGUAUGCAAUCUACCUUUCACAGAGGGAUAGCCCAGAGAAAUUUGGAUUAAUACCUCAUAGUAUACAGACUCGGCAUCGAGAUUGUAUUAAAGUCACAACGGUGAAAGAUGAGCAUGCGUCCCAUUAGCUUGUUGGUAAGGUAACGGCUUACCAAGGCUACGAUGGGGUAGGGGU
RNAcentral lists this ribosomal RNA (260 nucleotides) under uncultured bacterium. Its description in RNAcentral is "partial 16S ribosomal RNA". It matches the Rfam family "Bacterial small subunit ribosomal RNA", at positions 28 to 291 of the family's 1533-position model. The record is from RNAcentral.